Molecule: long non-coding RNA, 619 nt
Organism: Rosa rugosa (rugosa rose)
Lineage: Eukaryota; Viridiplantae; Streptophyta; Magnoliopsida; Rosales; Rosaceae
Exons: 3
Source: RefSeq, a predicted model, not a curated record
UAAAUGGUUGAGGUGUGCUGCAGCAUACCUCAGCCCACCCCUGGUUCCGUGCCUGCUUAGACAGAGAGAAUAGGAGAAAGAAAGAAAAGAAGAAGAAAUAGGAAGAGGGAAGAAGAAUACGUUUUUAUUUCUGGAUGGGUGCUUUCUAAGGGAGAGAUCAGAAACGAGAGAGUCAGAGAGAGGAGAGAGGAGAGAGGAGAGUUUGUUUGAAGUUAAUAGGCAAGAACUUGGUUUUGGAUUGGUUUCUUUUUGCUAAUGGAUUUGAGGUAUGAAAUGCAGAGGGCAACCUCUUUUGUUGCUCAAGCCAUGGCUCCCCGGUCUAACAACACAGCCAAAGCUAAAGCAAUAGCACUAAGGAUGAAGGCACUGCAAAUGAAAAGAGGUAAAAAAACAGUGUCGAAACCAGCUGUUGAAGAGACUGAUGCACCACCUAAAUCUGCCUUCACCAAACAUGAUCAAUAAUAUGAGAUAUUAGUGUUUUUGGGUUCCAUUUGUUGAUCAUGCCAACUGCUAUGGGUUAUUGAACUGAUGUUUACUAAGUUUAGCUCCAUUAUGAAUGUAUGUAUAGCUGUAGUAACAGAUUAAUCAAAUAUUGGUAUUUUUAUGAAUGAAUUCCAUA